Molecule: ribosomal RNA, 467 nt
Filed under: uncultured bacterium
Lineage: Bacteria
Description: partial 16S ribosomal RNA
Rfam family: Bacterial small subunit ribosomal RNA
Source: RNAcentral
GACGAACGCUGGCGGCGUGCUUAACACAUGCAAGUCGAACGGAAAGGCCUUGUUUCUGUGGGGUGCUCGAGUGGCGAAAGGGUGAGUAACACGUGUGUCACCUGCCUUUUCCUCUGGGAUAACUUCAGUAAACCGGGGCUACUACCUGUUAUUAGCUCCUGCUGCAUGGUGGGGUUUGGAAAGUUUCGGCGGUUGUGGAUGGACUCGCGGCUUAUCUGCUUGCUGGUGGGGUAGUGGCUUACCAAGUCUUUGACGGGUAGCGGGACUGAGAGUGUGACCGGCAACAUGGGGACUGAGAUACGGCCCACACUCGUGCGGGAGACAGCAGUGGGGACGAUAGCACAAUGGGGGGACGCCGGGUGGAGCAUCGCCGCGUGCGGGAUGUCGGCCUUCGGGUUGUAAGCCGAAUUCGCCUGGGUGGAAGCGUGGGGGAGGGUAAUGGGUAAGGAGGAACCGCCUACCUAGGU